AUGGCUCCAAACAGGGCCCCCGGGCCUAAUAAUAUCCCUGUUGAACUUUGUCAGGUCUGUUGGGAUAUAGUUAAGGAAGAUAUUAUGGCCCUGUUUGACCAUUUUCAUCAAGGUAAGCUUGAUGUGAAACGUCUUAACUACAGGAUUAUUACCCUCCUGCCUAAAGUGUCCAGUGCUGAGAGAAUUCAACAAUUUAGGCCAAUUUGUUUGCUCCAUUGCCCAUAUAAGCUCAUAACUAAAGUGCUCGACCGUAGGGUUGCAGUUUACGCUGAUAAGCUAAUCAGCCUUACCCAAAAUGCUUUUGUGAAAGGGAGGAAUAUCAUGGAUGGAGUGCUUUCACUCCAUGAGAUCCUCAACUAUACACAUGUCAAGAAGAAAGUGGGGAUUGUCCUUAAGCUUGACUUUGAAAAAGCCUAUGAUAAAGUAAACUGGGAUUUCCUCCUUGAAUGCCAUAAAAUGCGUGGUUUCAAUGAAACCUGGUGUGGAUGGAUUAAACAAAUCCUUUACGAGGGGACAAUUAGCAUCAAGUUGAAUAACUGUACGGGCCCGUACUUUCAGAGCGCCAAAGGGGUUCGCCAAGGGGACCCCCACUCUCCUUUUUUGUUCAACUUAGCGGUGGAAUGCCUCACCAAGAUGAUCAAAAACGCCCAGAAAAAUAAGUUGAUUGUAGGUUUAGCUUCUGACCUCAUUCCUGAGGGGGUGGCUAUUCUGCAAUACGCAGAUGAUACCAUUAUUUGUUUGGAG
RNAcentral lists this ribosomal RNA (744 nucleotides) under Triticum aestivum (bread wheat). RNAcentral describes it as "partial small subunit ribosomal RNA". Lineage: Eukaryota; Viridiplantae; Streptophyta; Magnoliopsida; Poales; Poaceae. The record is from RNAcentral.